CCUCUUAAACCCUUAGAGAUCAACUCACUUCCAUCUCCUAACCCUAGUCCUUCUCUCUCUAGCGAACCCUAGCCGCCCUAAAAUCCACACUGGUGGUCACCACCCCAAGCACCCCCAAAUCUUUAUCCUACACUCCCCAUUCCUCCUAAUAUGUAAUCCCCUAUCAAUUUCUCUAGAAACCUCCCCAAAAUCCAUAAUUUCCAGAUCCAAGAACCCCAAAAAACCUAGUUCCACCUUUUUCAAUUCUUGAAGUUUUGAGAACACAAUUCGAGUUGAAACUCACAUUAAUUGUUUGUUCUCAACCAGAACAAUCGAUUGACGUUACUUUCGGCUCAUUUCAAAAGUAUUCGGACUUAGUGGUUGACUAAACGUUUGGCACAAGGCCUUCUUGUUAUGUUUUAGGUUUGUGGUUUGUGGUUUAAGAAGUAACACGCCAAAAGUGUUGGUGACGAAUUUAGAAAUCUGACCAGUGCUUGGCCUGAUUUUUUAAAGUUCCACCACUUGAAAGUGGUCAUUUGUGUAAUAGUUUAAUUCUAGUUUAGUAUAGUUCCUAGUACAGAAAUGUAAUAAUCUGGUUCAUCAUUAGUGAAUGUAGUUGUGUCGAGUCAGUAGAUUGAUAGUUAUUUCAAACCAUGGAACGCUGUUGUAUAGCAAUUCAGUAUGAGUUUAGUGUUUAUAUCUGUUGAAAUGCUUAACUGUGGUAGUGAAGUAUAGAUAUAAUUCUUCCUGGCA
Molecule: long non-coding RNA, 732 nt
Organism: Nicotiana tabacum (common tobacco)
Lineage: Eukaryota; Viridiplantae; Streptophyta; Magnoliopsida; Solanales; Solanaceae
Source: RefSeq, a predicted model, not a curated record